RNAcentral lists this microRNA precursor (78 nucleotides) under Pelodiscus sinensis (Chinese soft-shelled turtle). RNAcentral's name for it is "let-7 microRNA precursor family". It matches the Rfam family "let-7 microRNA precursor family". From Rfam's summary of the family: This family represents the microRNAs (miRNA) let-7 and mir-98. let-7 was identified from a study of developmental timing in C. elegans, and was later shown to be part of a much larger class of non-coding RNAs termed miRNAs. The extents of the hairpin precursors are not generally known and are estimated based on hairpin prediction. RNAcentral also lists the same sequence under 1 other name. The record is from Rfam by way of RNAcentral. Lineage: Eukaryota; Metazoa; Chordata; Testudines; Trionychidae.
CCAGGCUGAGGUAGUAGGUUGUAUGGUUUAGAAUAACACCAGCAGGAGAUAACUGUACAGCCUCCUAGCUUUCCCUGG